This 305-nucleotide ribosomal RNA is filed under the name uncultured bacterium. RNAcentral describes it as "bacterial SSU rRNA". It matches the Rfam family "Bacterial small subunit ribosomal RNA", at positions 338 to 660 of the family's 1533-position model. The record is from RNAcentral.
CCUACGGGGGGCAGCAGUGGGGAAUAUUGCACAAUGGGGGAAACCCUGAUGCAGCAACGCCGCGUGAGUGAAGAAGUAUUUCGGUAUGUAAAGCUCUAUCAGCAGGGAAGAGAAUGACGGUACCUGACUAAGAAGCCCCGGCUAACUACGUGCCAGCAGCCGCGGUAAUACGUAGGGGGCGAGCGUUAUCCGGAUUUACUGGGUGUAAAGGGAGCGUAGACGGUAUGGCAAGUCUGAUGUGAAAACCCGGGGCUCAACCUCGGGACUGCAUUGGAAACUGUCGGACUAGAGUGUCGGAGAGGCAG